RNAcentral lists this small RNA (85 nucleotides) under Marmota monax (woodchuck). The record is from RNAcentral. Lineage: Eukaryota; Metazoa; Chordata; Mammalia; Rodentia; Sciuridae.
GCCAGGUGCGGUGGCGUAUGCCUGUAAUCCUAGCAGCUUGGGAGGCUGAGGCAGGCUUUGAUCAUGAAUUCAGAGCCAGCCUCAG